Mirounga angustirostris (Northern elephant seal) is the source of this 3822-nucleotide long non-coding RNA. RefSeq lists it as uncharacterized. NCBI's taxonomy places the organism in Eukaryota, Metazoa, Chordata, Mammalia, Carnivora, Phocidae. The record is from RefSeq and is a predicted model, not a curated record. The transcript has 8 exons.
CAGGAAGUUGUUAAGAAUACUGGACUUAGAACAGGAUGAUUCAGAUUUGAGUCACAAUCCCAAACUGUGUGACCCUGGGCAAGUGGGCGAAACUCUCUCAGUUUCCCCUUCCUCCAUGGAAAGAGAAUGCCUGCCUCUUGUGUUUGUUGUGAGAACCAAAAUGUGAUCCUGCAUGUGAAGCCAAUCUGGAAACGUGCCCACUCUCAUAUUCUAUUAUUUCAACUUCUCACACUUCUCAAAAGAAUGUGGCAAGAAAUGAAGGUGGGAAGGAAUCGAGAUGCUCGGGAGAUAAUAGAGAAAAAGACUCCGAGGUGUCACUCAAGUCAGCCAGGAAAGAGAGAGAGGUGGCUGGUUGAUUCAAGAUCACAGUGGAUGCAAACUAGCGGCAGAGCUGGGACUUGGGCUCCUGGCUUCCCAGGCGGUACUUCUUCUUCCUCACCUGCUGGGCUACAUAUACAGGUGAUCCUGAUAGUCCUUGAAUGCAGCCAAGUGCAUUUUUUUCCUGCUAAGUUACUGACUGGAUGGUACUUCUUUGUGAUAACUCCUCAGAGGAGAAGACACAGGUGUGGGAGGAAUCCCUCAACAGAAGGAAGAGAAUAGCCUCUCUGGCUCACCAUGUUGGUGGCGGGAUAUUCCAGGGCCUGGGAGCUGCAGAAGAGGAUGAGAAGUUUGUCUAGAGUUAAUUUGAGGAUACAAUGCUCCUCGGAAGAUGCCCCAAUAUGACCCUGUGUGAGAAAAGGCCCAAGACAAGUGUAGAAGAGUAGAUGCACCAACCAACACUGGGACUGACCAACUCCCAACUGCACUUCAGAAGAGUUGGACAAGAUGGAGUUGAGUUGAGCUGUGGAUAAUUCUAGGAUGUUGCAUGCUCCUGAAACUAAGCUUUAGUUACCUAUUUUCAUAAUUACUGCAUUUUGAGUAUUUGGGGAAAGGGGACUGUCUAAAGGUCUAAUUUUAGGCAUGCUGUCUAAUGUCUAAAAUGGGGUUUAUUUUUCUCAAAUAUUUUUGGUCUUCUUUAUAGGUUUCAUUUGAAAAGUGUCAAUUGUUUCUUUUUGCUCUGAAGAUGGGCAUGGUGCUGCUCAUGACUCUCCCAUGUAAGGAAGAAGAGAGGAGCCAGCUGAGCUGGAGCAGAGGUCGGAUUGCAGAUUGGGAGAGCUCUUCACAUACCAUAUUCAAAAAGCAUCUGUCACCCAGUAGCCAUGGCAACAGGCAUCCCUGAAUUGUUGUGGAGAGAUGUUUUUGGAAUGGAGCUGGAAAAGGAAGUGGACAUAACUGCCUCUGGGUAUUAAUUGAGCACUUGCUGUAUGCAGAGCCCUAUUCUAGAUACUAUAGAGGGCAUGAAGAGAGUCGCAGCCUCUUCUCAGGAUUUGAAGCUAGAAAGGAGUGAACAGAUGAGUACUAAGCAAUCAGCUCCAUCAAGCCAGAUUGAUACCCUCUAACCUGGAGAAGAAGAAGAGAGUUUAAAAAGGGAGAUGCACCCCCAGGGCUUUAUGGGGCCCUGUCUCCUCCCAGGGCCCAGGGUGGUGGAAAUGGCAGACGCCCCUCUAAGGAUGGAGGUCAAGCAUGAUGUAGCAGAGUCUGCACUCAGCAUCAGCUUCAGGGAGGAGUGAGAACGCAAAUCCUGAAAUGAUUGAGAACAUGACUCCAGUGACCAAUUUACCUGGAAACAGCUCUGCUAGUUUUUCUGCAUCAGCCAGAAGGGGGGCUUGAGACGGAAAAGAACUCCAAUCACAGAAAGAGAAAAUGACAUUGUACACACCAGUCUUCUGGGGGGCGGGGGGCCGACCCUCUGUGUUCGCUUCUUGCCUUCUUUCUCCCCUUCCCCAUCCUGCACCCCAACCCAUCUGCUUCAACAUGCUGAACUGGGCCUCCUGUCCACAGCACACGGUGGGCCUGGUGAGAAAACCAGGACUUUAGAGCCUGAAAAUCGUAAAGCUAGAAGGGCCCAUAGAGAUGGGGUUGUCCACUGCCUGCAUUUCACCGGUAAGGAGACUGGGGCCCAAGGAAAGGACGUGCCUCGCAUAAGGUCUCAACACAGUUGAGUGACCGAGGUGAGAAAACUUGGUUCUUGAAUGUUUCCCACCACCUUUUCCCAUCCAGCUCCUGUCGAGACUGGUCACCCAGGUGAGGAAAGCACGCCCUGGCCCCACAGCCACAGCUCAUUGGGUCUGAGCCACCUCUCUUGCUGGCUGGCUGGGUGAUUUAGAGCAGAUGUCACCCAGGACAGGAGGGGGGGGCAUGAGGGGAGAGGGGCACUGCCCAGCAUAGAGCCUUACGGGUGGCCCUCCUACAAACUGACCUCUUGGCCCCAGAACAAAGCAGUUCUCCAACACGCCAUGGAUCAUGCCUUGUGGGGGACGACAUGACACAUGCCAGGGAUUCUUUCCAAGCCACAACUGCUUUGGAGUCAUGGCAGCAAGUCUCUGCCUGCUGGGGCCUGCGAGCUCCCCCCAGGCUGUGGGGCAAGAAGAGAAGUCUUAGACUUCACCGAGGUAGGAGUGCCGGCUGCCAGGAGACCACUGGGAACAUUGAGGACUCGGGGGGACAAGCAGUUGGGCCUCCCUGUCCUGAGGGUCGGCUCUAAAUCACCGCCAACCUCGUGCAGAGGACAAGCCCCAGUGUUGUGUUUACUCUGCCAGGAGCUUUUGCUCACUGUCCUCAUUUACUCCUCACAGCCCAGUAGACAGGGGUUACUCUCUCCUUUUUAGAGAUGAGGAAAAUCAAGUUUGGAAAGGUUAAGUGACUUGAGGUUGAGGUCACACUGUUUUUAAGGAGAGGCUCUGGGAUUAGAUAAGAUAGAUCCUUGUGUGUCUUCAGCUGCAGAGCGCCCCCCCGCCCCGAGCCUCUCUCCUGGGGAUCUCUUUUUCCUGGGAGUCCUUCCCAACAGAGUCUAAGGGGGCAGAGAGGGAGACUGCGAACAGCCCAGCCUCGCAGAUUAGGGGCUGGGAGUCAGGACACUCAGGCCCUUGGCUUCACCUCUCACUGGCCCCUUUCCCUGACCACACACUUCCCUCCCAAGGAGGCUGUUCUCUGGGCAGUGACUGGCACUGGUUCUCAGGCUCUCCCACAUUCCCUCAGGGCCAUUUUAAGUUGUGAGCACCUCAGCUUUGUGUCAGGAGCAACACUCGAGGAAGGUCGCUCACCUUACGAGCAGAGCUUACCAUAAUCCAACAAACCUACGACGAAGUCAGACUUACAUACAAUGGAAUGCCGAGCAUAAUCAUUAUCGAAACUGGGGCCCAGGCCCCUUCUCACCAAGUCUCGACCUUGGAGAUUAUGGAAAUGAGACCUAAAUGUUGAACACUUCCUAACAUUGACUGGAGUGUUCUUUUACACAACUCAGUCAAAUUUUUACUUUUUCAGUCCUCACUUGGUUGGCUCUUUAGUUAUAAUCUGCACUGGGGCUUGAAAGUUUUCCUUGGGGCGCCUGGGUGGCUCAGUCGUUAAGCGUCUGCCUUCGGCUCAGGUCAUGAUCCCAGGGUCCUGGGUUCGAGUCCCACAUCAGGCUCCCUGCUCGGCGGGAAGCCUGCUUCUCCCUCUCCCACUCCCCCUGCUUGUGUUCCUGCUCUCGCUAUCUCUCUGUCAAAUAAAUAAAAAAAAAAAAUCUUUAAAAAAAAAAAAAAGAAAGUUUUCCUUGGUGUCAUGGCUAGUUUUAUCCUCAUUCCAUUCCCCACUCCUCAUACCAUAUGCGCCCUGAUCCCCACACAUAUCGAAAGGUAGAGGCUGGUGCCUCUGCUCACUGAUGGCAGGGCCCUUGCUAACCCUAUCAUGGUCCAGGGAUGAGAUUCCUGGGGUCCCCUCAUAGAUUUACAGAGGAUUCUA